CUCUUCAACUUAUAUUGCUGCAUCUCAGCUCCUUUGUGAAGCUAAAGACUCUAGAAUGUGCAUUGGUUCUCAAUUGGUACUUACGCAUUUGGUACUUAGACUAAAUCUUAUAUAUAGGAGACUAACUAUUGAACUGAUGUGGAUAAAGCAUGCACACACAUAAAUCUAAGAAUCUUAUUCAUAAGUAAACUAUAAACCAUAAUGCAUAAAAUCUCAGAAUGGUGACCCGCAGCCAAAUGCAUAAAACAUUAGAUUUACAUGUAUAGCAACAACAACGUAACAGCAAAUCUAUGUAUAUAACCACAGUUGUGGAACUCAGAAAAAGUCAGGGACAGAGGUGGUUACCGGUCUCAGAUAUUUUUUAGGCCAAACUCUUUCCACCCAGAACAGCUGCUGCUAUGCACAAUAGUUGUCUCCUAAUAAUAGAUAUUCAGCUACAUUAAUUUGUCCAAAAAUCUACUAAUUAUAAUAAUAAGAUUAAUGACAACAACAUAUAGAAUUCCACCCAGAACCACUCUUAAAGUGUCCUCAUUUGCUGCCAACCCAAUUUUUGCUAUUUACAUAAGACAGUUUAACAUAAUUCAAUUAUGGUCUUCGCAAUUAGUGGAAGAUGGACAUUAUAUAAAUCAAAGGAACUCACCUACAAAAUACAAAAUUCAGAAUUACAAAAAAAAAAAAAAUAAUAACUUAUUGAACAACCCCCAGUAAAAACAAGAGAGAAAUUCACCAUUGUCACAAAAUUGGAAAUAGCAAGAAUAUUUCACCCAUAACACUAAACCCAUUCUUAAAUCAUCAAUACCCUAAAUCUAUAAUUAAAUUAACACUAAAAAACUUUGUAAGAAUUGGGCAUAAACAAACCUAGAAUGCGAGUGACCGAAUUGGGCAAAGAAUGCGAGUGAGAGAAUAACAAAUAAAAGUAGCAGUGCGAGAGAGAAAGUGAAAGCGAUUGAGAGAGAACGAGAACCAGAGAAUGACAGUGCAAGAGGAGAACAAGAGAGUGGCAGAGUGAGAGAGCUUAACCAUAGAAACUUGUUU
Molecule: unclassified non-coding RNA, 1035 nt
Filed under: Hevea brasiliensis (rubber tree)
Lineage: Eukaryota; Viridiplantae; Streptophyta; Magnoliopsida; Malpighiales; Euphorbiaceae
Source: RNAcentral